AUGGCGGACAGCAUGCAAGAGUGGCCGGAGGCCGUCGUCCGCGUGCAGGCGGUCGCAGAGAGCGACGUGGCCGCCAUCCCGGGCUGCUACGUCAAGCAACCGCGCGACCGCCCAGACCACGUCCUCCACGAGCCCUCCGACAUGAGCAUUCCGGUCAUCGACCUCGCCUGCCUCCUCGCUGGCCGCACCGACAGCUUGGCCACCGACGCCGUUGCCGCGGCGUGCCGGGACUGGGGCUUCUUCCAGGUGGUGAACCACGGGGUGGCGCCGGAGCUGAUGCGCGCGGCGCGGGAGGCCUGGCGCGGCUUCUUCCGGCUGCCCAUCCCGGCCAAGCAGCACUACGCCAACCUGCCGCGGACGUACGAGGGGUACGGCAGCCGGAUCGGCGUUCAGAAGAGCGCCACCCUCGACUGGGGAGACUACUUUUUCCUCCACCUCGCGCCGGAGGACGCCAAGAGCCCCGAUAAGUACUGGCCACAUCCCGGUAUCUGCAAAGAGGUGUCGGAGUACGGGCAGGAGGUGGUGAAUUUGUGCGAGCUGCUUAUGAAGGUGUUGUCGGUUAGCCUGGGGCUGGACGAGGCGAGGUUCCAGGAGGCGUUCGGCGGGGGGACUAACUACUACCCACGGUGCCCGCAGCCGGGCCUGACGCUGGGCCUUUCAGCGCACUCCGAGCCAGGUGUCCUCACUGUGCUCCUACCCGACGAGCACGUUCGCGGCCUGCAGGUCCGCCGCGCAGAUGGGUCACCGUGCAGCCUGUCAACGACGACGCUUUCAUCGUCAACGUUGGCGACCAGAUCCAGAUAUUGA
Molecule: ribosomal RNA, 807 nt
Filed under: Triticum aestivum (bread wheat)
Lineage: Eukaryota; Viridiplantae; Streptophyta; Magnoliopsida; Poales; Poaceae
Description: partial small subunit ribosomal RNA
Source: RNAcentral